AAAUAAUUUAAGGUCUGACCUGCCCACUGAGGAUUUAAAUGGCCGCGGUAUUUUGACCGUGCAAAGGUAGCAUAAUCAUUAGUUUUUUAAUUGAAAGCUGGAAUGAAAGGUUGAAUGAGAAAAUUACUGUCUCUAUUUAAUUUUUUUAGAAAUUUAUCUUUAAGUAAAAAAGCUUAAAUAAUAUUUGAAGACGAGAAGACCCUAUAGAGUUUUAUUAUUAAAGGUUUAAGGAUUAUUAGUAUUUAGUUAUUCUUAUUUUUAUAAUAAUUUGAUUGGGGUGAUUGAAAAAUUAAAUUAACUUUUUUUUUAUUUUUACAUUUAUUUAUGAUUAUUUGAUCCUUUUUUUAAGAUUAAAAGAUUUAAUUACCUUAGGGAUAACAGCGUAAUUUUUUUUGAGAGUUCAAAUCGAAAAAAAAGAUUGCGACCUCGAUGUUGGAUUAAAAUAAAAUUUUGGUGUAGCAGCUAAAGUAUUUGGGUCUGUUCGACCCUUAAAAUUUUA
RNAcentral lists this ribosomal RNA (499 nucleotides) under Hypera punctata (clover leaf weevil). RNAcentral's name for it is "partial 16S ribosomal RNA". It matches the Rfam family "Bacterial large subunit ribosomal RNA", at positions 1838 to 2598 of the family's 2925-position model. The record is from RNAcentral. Lineage: Eukaryota; Metazoa; Arthropoda; Insecta; Coleoptera; Curculionidae.